AUACAGAGGGUGCGAGCGUUAAUCGGAAUUACUGGGCGUAAAGCGCGCGUAGGCGGUCUAUUAAGUCAGAUGUGAAAUCCCAGGGCUCAACCUUGGAACUGCAUCUGAUACUGGUAGACUAGAGUUUUGGAGAGGGAAGUAGAAUUUCAGGUGUAGCGGUGAAAUGCAUAGAGAUCUGAAGGAAUACCAGUGGCGAAGGCGACUUCCUGGCCAAAAACUGACGCUGAGGUGCGAAAGCGUGGGUAGCAAACAGGAUUAGAUACCCUAGUAGUCC
This 274-nucleotide ribosomal RNA is filed under the name uncultured bacterium. RNAcentral describes it as "partial 16S ribosomal RNA". It matches the Rfam family "Bacterial small subunit ribosomal RNA", at positions 523 to 796 of the family's 1533-position model. The record is from RNAcentral.